RNAcentral lists this unclassified non-coding RNA (213 nucleotides) under Hevea brasiliensis (rubber tree). Lineage: Eukaryota; Viridiplantae; Streptophyta; Magnoliopsida; Malpighiales; Euphorbiaceae. The record is from RNAcentral.
UGGCGUCCUAUAAUAUAUAUAAACAGAUGGUUUUACAAAGUUAAUUGGCGGAAGUGUAUAUGAAUUUUACCCAUUGAGGAAUUUUGUCAAACAGCUAAAAAGCCUCAUGUCUUUAUCCCGUACAAAACCAGCAACAACAUGCUCCAAAAUUAAUAACUGAAACUGAAGUCCAAAUUCACUUCAUGAUGAGUAAAAGCAUAUGGGUUCACCUUG